AACACAUGCAAGUCGCGGGGCAGCAUAGGGUUUCAGCAAUGAAAUUCGGAUGGCGACCGGCGCACGGGUGAGUAACACGUAUCCAACCUGCCCUUUACUCGGGGAUAGCCUUGCGAAAGUAAGAUUAAUACCCGAUGGCAUUGGGUUCCCGCAUGGGGAUUCAAUUAAAGGUGAAAAUUGGUAAAGGAUGGGGAUGCGUUCCAUUAGGCAGUAGGCGGGGUAACGGCCCACCUAACCGACGAUGGAUAGGGGUUCUGAGAGGAAGGUCCCCCACAUUGGAACUGAGACACGGUCCAAACUCCUACGGGAGGCAGCAGUGAGGAAUAUUGGUCAAUGGGCGCGAGCCUGAACCAGCCAAGUAGCGUGAAGGAUGACUGCCCUAUGGGUUGUAAACUUCUUUUAUACGGGAAUAAAGUCACUUACGUGUAAGUGUUUGUAUGUACCUUAUGAAUAAGCAUCGGCUAACUCCGUGCCAGCAGCCGCGGUAAUACGGAGGAUGCGAGCGUUAUCCGGAUUUAUUGGGUUUAAAGGGAGCGUAGAUGGGCUUUUAAGUCAGUUGUGAAAUUCUGCGGCUCAACCGUAGGACUGCAGUUGAAACUGGGAGCCUUGAGUGCAGUUGAGGUGUAUGGAAUUCGUGGUGUAGCGGUGAAAUGCUUAGAUAU
RNAcentral lists this ribosomal RNA (662 nucleotides) under uncultured bacterium. Its description in RNAcentral is "bacterial SSU rRNA". It matches the Rfam family "Bacterial small subunit ribosomal RNA", at positions 50 to 697 of the family's 1533-position model. The record is from RNAcentral.